UGAGGAAUAUUGGUCAAUGGGCGCGAGCCUGAACCAGCCAAGUAGCGUGAAGGAUGAAGGUCCUAUGGAUUGUAAACUUCUUUUAUAGCAGAAUAAAGUGACCCACGUGUGGGUUUUUGUAUGUAUGCUAUGAAUAAGGAUCGGCUAACUCCGUGCCAGCAGCCGCGGUAAUACGUAGGGGGCAAGCGUUGUCCGGAUUUACUGGGUGUAAAGGGUGCUCAGGCGGAUUUGUAAGUCAGAGGUGAAAUCUUACAGCUUAACUGUGAAACUGCCUUUGAUACUGCAAGCCUAGAGUAUGGAAGAGAGUGAUGGAAUAUCUGGUGUAGCAGUGAAAUGCGUAGAUAUCAGAUAGAACACCAAUGGCGAAGGCAGUCACUUGGUCCAUUACUGACGCUAAAGCACGAAAGCGUGGGUAGCAAAC
RNAcentral lists this ribosomal RNA (421 nucleotides) under uncultured bacterium. Its description in RNAcentral is "bacterial SSU rRNA". It matches the Rfam family "Bacterial small subunit ribosomal RNA", at positions 355 to 773 of the family's 1533-position model. The record is from RNAcentral.